RNAcentral lists this ribosomal RNA (673 nucleotides) under uncultured Pseudoalteromonas sp. RNAcentral's name for it is "bacterial SSU rRNA". It matches the Rfam family "Bacterial small subunit ribosomal RNA", at positions 1 to 660 of the family's 1533-position model. Lineage: Bacteria; Pseudomonadati; Pseudomonadota; Gammaproteobacteria; Alteromonadales; Pseudoalteromonadaceae. The record is from RNAcentral.
CCCUUAGAGUUUGAUCCUGGCUCAGAUUGAACGCUGGCGGCAGGCCUAACACAUGCAAGUCGAGCGGUAACAGAUUGAUAGCUUGCUAUCAAUGCUGACGAGCGGCGGACGGGUGAGUAAUGCCUGGGAAUAUGCCCUGAUGUGGGGGAUAACUAUUGGAAACGAUAGCUAAUACCGCAUAACCUCUUCGGAGCAAAGAGGGGGACCUUCGGGCCUCUCGCGUCAGGAUUAGCCCAGGUGGGAUUAGCUUGUUGGUGGGGUAAUGGCUCACCAAGGCAACGAUCCCUAGCUGGUCUGAGAGGAUGAUCAGCCACACUGGAACUGAGACACGGUGCAGACUCCUACGGGAGGCAGCAGUGGGGAAUAUUGCACAAUGGGGGAAACCCUGAUGCAGCCAUGCCGCGUGUAUGAAGAAGGCCUUCGGGUUGUAAAGUACUUUCAGUUGUGAGGAAGGCAGUAAAAGUUAAUAGCUUUGCUGUUUGACGUUAGCAACAGAAGAAGCACCGGCUAACUCCGUGCCAGCAGCCGCGGUAAUACGGAGGGUGCGAGCGUUUAAUCGGAAUUACUGGGCGUAAAGCGCAUGCAGGUGGUCUGUUAAGCAAGAUGUGAAAGCCCGGGGCUCAACCUCGGGAACAGCAUUUUGAACUGGCAGACUAGAGUGCUGUACAGGGGG